AAAGAGCUCGUAGGUGGUUUGUCGCGUUGUUCGUGAAAUCUCACGGCUUAACUGUGAGCGUGCGGGCGAUACGGGCAGACUUGAGUACUGCAGGGGAGACUGGAAUUCCUGGUGUAGCGGUGGAAUGCGCAGAUAUCAGGAGGAACACCGGUGGCGAAGGCGGGUCUCUGGGCAGUAACUGACGCUGAGGAGCGAAAGCGUGGGGAGCGAACAGGAUUAGAUACCCUGGUAGUCCACGCCGUAAACGGUGGGUACUAGGUGUGGGUUUCCUUCCUUGGGAUCCGUGCCGUAGCUAACGCAUUAAGUACCCCGCCUGGGGAGUACGGCCGCAAGGCUAAAACUCAAAGAAAUUGACGGGGGCCCGCACAAGCGGCGGAGCAUGUGGAUUAAUUCGAUGCAACGCGAAGAACCUUACCUGGGUUUGACAUGCACAGGACGCCGGCAGAGAUGUCGGUUCCCUUGUGGCCUGUGUGCAGGUGGUGCAUGGCUGUCGUCAGCUCGUGUCGCGCGAUGUUGGGUUAAGUCCCGCAACGAGCGCAACCCUUGUCUCAUGUUGCCCAGCGGGUAACUGCCGGGGACUCGUGAGAGACUGCCGGGGUCAACUCGGAGGAAGGUGGGGACGACGUCAAGUCAUCAUGCCCCUUAUGUCCACGGGCUUCACACAUGCUACAAUGGCCGGUACAAAGGGCUGCGAUGCCGCGAGGUUAAGCGAAUCCUUUUAAAGCCGGUCUCAGUUCGGACUCGGGGUCUGCAACU
This 756-nucleotide ribosomal RNA is filed under the name uncultured Mycobacterium sp. RNAcentral's name for it is "bacterial SSU rRNA". It matches the Rfam family "Bacterial small subunit ribosomal RNA", at positions 562 to 1312 of the family's 1533-position model. The record is from RNAcentral. Lineage: Bacteria; Bacillati; Actinomycetota; Actinomycetes; Mycobacteriales; Mycobacteriaceae.